UAUGGAUAACUCAAAUUCCACACCUAUUUUUGAAUUUUUUGCACCUUCGGAGACCAGCCAUAGACCAUGGGAAUCAACAAGUCCUUUCUUUGCCCCUAAUUAUGAUCUGUGUCCAGAGUUGAUUGUAAUAGGUCAAAACCAACCCUUUUCUAUAGCCGAGGUCCUAUCUUUUAAUCAAGAAGAUAAUGAACUUUUAGCUACACCUAGGGAAUCUUUUAAUCUUUCUAUAAAUUAUAGUUUAGACCUAGCCCUACAAUACCAUGUUUUUCCUCGAUAUUUUUACAUUGGUCUUGAUCAUAUAACCUUUGGUAGAGUUUUUCUUUCUUAUCUGUUAGUAA
RNAcentral lists this long non-coding RNA (338 nucleotides) under Sorghum bicolor (sorghum). RNAcentral's name for it is "long non-coding RNA (SBIC_LNC002756)". Lineage: Eukaryota; Viridiplantae; Streptophyta; Magnoliopsida; Poales; Poaceae. The record is from RNAcentral.